RNAcentral lists this long non-coding RNA (1889 nucleotides) under Ailuropoda melanoleuca (giant panda). RNAcentral describes it as "lncRNA (ENSAMEG00000023741.1)". Lineage: Eukaryota; Metazoa; Chordata; Mammalia; Carnivora; Ursidae. The record is from RNAcentral.
GUCGAUCUGAAAAUGUUCUUAAUGACCUUCAUUCCCAGGAUCACAUUCAGUCUUUCCCUCUUGUUGUCAUCAGCAGAUAGGUCACUCAGUCCAGAAUUGGCCCUGGCUGCAGAAAGACUCGGGCUUUACAAUUCUAUAGGAAUACCAGGCAGUCGGGCUGAAAUGGGGAGGAAGAAAGCAUGACAAGAGAAGAAAGUGGCCAGGUCCAAGGAACUUGUUCAGCAUUGCUAGCUGCGGAAAAACUAUGUUCGUAUCACUUUUCCAGAGCCUUCGAUCAUGGAAUCUCUUCUGGGGACAGCCUGACCCUCCACAGAUAAGCUACUGGAACUCUCUGAGGGAAGUUUUGGCUCCUUUUUCUAGGAGGGAGGAUCCCUGAGAAGACCCGUGCAUGUUUGUCACGUUAGCUAUACCUACAGACCCAUCAGUCUGGCAUUGAAAUGAGCAGCCCACUCUUCCCUACCAGUUCACAAGCACCCAACGGCAGGGCCCCUGUGAAGGACAGUGCUCUCCCAGGGGACAGCGUUCAGCUUUGACUAGGGUUGAGCUGUCCUCUCUCCUCUGGCUCUCUAGUUCUAGUCUCCCUCCCUCCCUCUCUUGUACCCGCGCGUGCGCGCCCGCGCGCGCGCACUCACACACACACACACACACACACACACACGCACCCGCUCUCUCCCCCUACCGCUCGCGCUCUCCCCAGGCUUUGUCUGGAGGCUCCCGCCCGCUCCGUCUGCACCCCCCCCCCCCGGGCGUCCCGGUCCCCAGGCCCUGGGCGCGCAGGGGGACGUCGCGGCGCCACAGGCCUGGGGGACUGGACCGCGUCGAAGGCCGGAUGUGUGGGACGGGGCGAGACGGAGGCGCACAGCCCCAGAGAGUGAGAGUCCCCGCCGACAAGACAGUAGGCGACUCCGACCGCCAAAGACGCGAGUCAUUCCCACUGCAAACACCAGAGCGCGUCGGCCCGCCUUCCCCGCGGCCGCCCCCACUCCCCCGGCGCCACCGCGCGAACAAAAGCCGGCGGGCUCGGGGCGCUCCCCCUAGCGGCCGCUCCUCCCGCGGCGGCCCCGGCGCGGCCUUCCAGGGCUUUCUCGGCCUCCCGAGAACGCCCUCGCCACGCAGCCGCCCAGACGGGUGGCCGGCGCUGCGCCUUCCCUCUCUGGCCCUCCCAGGCGGUGCCCGUUUUGACGUACUUGUGAUCCAGGCAGAAAAGAAGCCUUCACAAGCCCACGUAUUUUCCUCAGUGAGUCAAAGAAAUAUUUAUGAUAUACUGAAACAGUUGAAGAAGUAUUCCGUUCAAAGUUCAGAGGGAGGAAACAGAGAAGCAGGAGACAAGAGCGGAGAGACAGCCCAGUCAGGUCACCACACUGCCCAGGAAACGGAAGCACACCUGAGAAGAUGUCCCCAUCCCUCCACCUGAGGCUUGUGUCGCAGAUGCAGCCAUAGCUGUGGAUCUCCCAGCAAUCCCUUCUUCAACUGCAACCCGAGCUAUGAACAGAGAGCGGGAGAGUACUGUGCCUGGGGCUGCUCCUCUCCUUGAGAAGACUUGCAGCAAUGCCAGGUGAGGGGACAGGAGGUACUGAGGGUGUGGUGGCAGAGGGAAGCAUUGUGGACCCAGGAGCAAUCCUGAAAUCUUUGAUCUGUGUUUGGCUCCGCUAGUCACUAGACUCCUGACAAGCAGAUUUCAGGGUUCUGUAGGUUGAAACAUAGCAAUUCCACACUUGGGAGGGAACUGCUAUUUUAUUGCCCCAAUUAACUGGUUUAUUUGUUUAUAAAUUCUUCCCUUUUCUGUUUUAUGAUGCAGUUGUGGUGUGUUUAAUGGAACUGCAAGAUUAAGACUGGCAAGAUGACUGCAUGUUAUGUUUCCAAAGCUAAUAAAUGGUUUGAAUCCAGAA